This 71-nucleotide transfer RNA is filed under the name Cordylochernes scorpioides. RNAcentral describes it as "tRNA-Gly". It matches the Rfam family "tRNA". Rfam says of the family: Transfer RNA (tRNA) molecules are approximately 80 nucleotides in length. Their secondary structure includes four short double-helical elements and three loops (D, anti-codon, and T loops). Further hydrogen bonds mediate the characteristic L-shaped molecular structure. tRNAs have two regions of fundamental functional importance: the anti-codon, which is responsible for specific mRNA codon recognition, and the 3' end, to which the tRNAs corresponding amino acid is attached (by aminoacyl-tRNA synthetases). tRNAs cope with the degeneracy of the genetic code in two manners: having more than one tRNA (with a specific anti-codon) for a particular amino acid; and 'wobble' base-pairing, i.e. permitting non-standard base-pairing at the 3rd anti-codon position. Lineage: Eukaryota; Metazoa; Arthropoda; Arachnida; Pseudoscorpiones; Chernetidae. The record is from RNAcentral.
GCAUCGGUGGUUCAGUGGAAGAAUGCUCGCCUGCCACGUGGGCGGCCCGGGUUCGAUUCCCGGCCGAUGCA